This 236-nucleotide long non-coding RNA is filed under the name Capsicum annuum. RNAcentral's name for it is "long non-coding RNA (CANN_LNC001144)". The record is from RNAcentral. Lineage: Eukaryota; Viridiplantae; Streptophyta; Magnoliopsida; Solanales; Solanaceae.
CUAAAUAUGUUUUUUAUUGUUGGUAUUUUAAAUAUUUUUUCUACAUUUAAAUCUAAUUCUUUUCCUUUUAUCUCGUCAAAUAUAUUAUUAUCAAAUAUUAUUUUCUGAUCUGUUCCUUCUUCAUUUAAAUAUUCUUCCUUUGUUAUUAUUUUUAUAUCUUCUUCAGUUAUUUGAUUCAUCUAAUUCACUAUCUAUUUCAUUUUUCGAAAUUUCAUAUAUACUAUCUUCACUUUCUA